GGGGGGGGGGCACGGGGGGCCUACGGGAGGCAGCAGUGAGGAAUAUUGGACAAUGGGGGCAAGCCUGAUCCAGCCAUGCCGCGUGCAGGAUGACGGUCCUAUGGAUUGUAAACUGCUUUUGUACAGGAAGAAACACUGGUUCGUGAACCAGCUGACGGUACGUAAGAAUAGAUCUAUUUCAC
RNAcentral lists this ribosomal RNA (182 nucleotides) under uncultured Flavobacterium sp. RNAcentral describes it as "partial 16S ribosomal RNA". It matches the Rfam family "Bacterial small subunit ribosomal RNA", at positions 319 to 501 of the family's 1533-position model. The record is from RNAcentral. Lineage: Bacteria; Pseudomonadati; Bacteroidota; Flavobacteriia; Flavobacteriales; Flavobacteriaceae.